GUUCAUUAAUAUUAGCAAUCAUAACGCUCAAAAUCAGGCAAGUCUCUUCAUCCUCACUUUCUUUCUCUUCUUCACACCCCCUCUCUCCACCUUCUCUCCCACAGACAACUACCUCAUUUCUUGUGGCUCCACCAUUGACAACCGUCGUUUUAUCUCUGAUUCCCAUCCAAAUUCGCCACUUCUCUCCUCAACGGAAACGAUUCCGCUCACCAACCAGAACCCGUCUCCCAAUUAUCCCCAAAUCUACAACACUGCAAGAAUUUUCAAAACACCUUCAAAAUAUGCUUUUGAGGUCAAGGAACCGGGGACUCGUAUGAGCCAUUCUUGGUUGGAUCUCGAAUCUAUUCAAAAGUUGAUCCAUGGAGUACAACAUGGAAGGAUCCGACCCGAACCUGAUCAACCAUAGUAAUUAGGUAUGAUAUGUUUGUAUGAACAAGUCAUUAACACUCACAGGUUAUUUCAGAAAUUUGGCGAAGAGUAGCAGACCCCAAUACAAAUUUCUGGUAAAUAACAGCACUAGAAACGAAGAAACAAUCAAGAACAUUUAUGACUGGUGAGGAGAGGAUUUUUCAGCAGAGAAAGGCGUGACAGACCAGUGACCAACACUAACCAGAGGCAAAGCUCACCAUUCUGAUUCUAAAGGCAUCAGCAUACACAAGAGAAUUGGGAUAGCUGUCAACCUAACUACUGGAUGCUGACGAGAGUGCAUGCGUACUCUUUUUAGCUAUCCUCUGGGCAGCUAGAAGAGACAUUUGUGUGAACCUCACGAAAGUAAACCCUUAUUUUAUUGACGGUUUCAACCAAUAAGUCAAAUGUAAUAUUCAAUUCAAUUACAUGUUACUACAUAGCAGAGAAAUAGCUGCUUUUAUGGGGGGAGGGGGUAAACGAAAAGUGCAUCAAGAGAUAUCCAGAGAAAACUCUUGUGGUAUUGAUCUAUAAUUCAAAAAUUGUAAUAAAAAUCCCUGAGCCUACAAAAAGUUUCCAAGUC
Molecule: long non-coding RNA, 988 nt
Organism: Populus trichocarpa (black cottonwood)
Lineage: Eukaryota; Viridiplantae; Streptophyta; Magnoliopsida; Malpighiales; Salicaceae
Exons: 2
Source: RefSeq, a predicted model, not a curated record